UGGGGAAUCUUGGACAAUGGGCGAAAGCCUGAUCCAGCGACGCCGCGUGGGGGAUGAAGGCCCUCGGGUUGUAAACCCCUUUCAGCGGGGACGAAGCGAAAGUGACGGUACCCGCAGAAGAAGCCCCGGCUAACUACGUGCCAGCAGCCGCGGUAAGACGUAGGGGGCGAGCGUUGUCCGGAUUUAUUGGGCGUAAAGCGCGCGCAGGCGGCUCGGUAAGUCGGAUGUGAAAACCCGGGGCUCAACCCCGGGCCGUCAUUCGAUACUGCCGAGCUCGAGGCAGGUAGGGGAGAUUGGAAUUCCCGGUGUAGCGGUGAAAUGCGCAGAUAUCGGGAGGAACACCGGUGGCGAAGGCGGAUCUCUGGGCCUGUCCUGACGCUCAGGCGCGAAAGCUGGGGUAGCGAACAGG
This 409-nucleotide ribosomal RNA is filed under the name Bacillota bacterium. Its description in RNAcentral is "Firmicutes bacterium partial 16S ribosomal RNA". It matches the Rfam family "Bacterial small subunit ribosomal RNA", at positions 355 to 776 of the family's 1533-position model. Lineage: Bacteria; Bacillati; Bacillota. The record is from RNAcentral.